Molecule: ribosomal RNA, 495 nt
Filed under: uncultured bacterium
Lineage: Bacteria
Description: partial 16S ribosomal RNA
Rfam family: Bacterial small subunit ribosomal RNA
Source: RNAcentral
GAUGAACGCUGGCGGCGUGCCUAAUACAUGCAAGUCGAGCGAACAGACGAGGAGCUUGCUCCUCUGACGUUAGCGGCGGACGGGUGAGUAACACGUGGAUAACCUACCUAUAAGAUUGGGAUAACUUCGGGAAACCGGAGCUAAUACCGGAUAAUAUAUUGAACCGCAUGGUUCAAUAGUGAAAGACGGUUUUGCUGUCACUUAUAGAUGGAUCCGCGCCGCAUUAGCUAGUUGGUAAGGUAACGGCUUACCAAGGCGACGAUGCGUAGCCGACCUGAGAGGGUGAUCGGCCAAACUGGAACUGAGACACGGUCCAGACUCCUACGGGAGGCAGCAGUAGGGAAUCUUCCGCAAUGGGCGAAAGACUGACGGAGCAACGCCGCGUGAGUGAUGAAGGUCUUCGGAUCGUAAAACUCUGUUAUUAGGGAAGAACAAAUGUGUAAGUAACUAGGCACGUCUUGACGGUACCUAAUCAGAAAGCCACGGCUAACUACG